Non-coding RNA from Salvelinus sp. IW2-2015, 2162 nucleotides. The record is from RefSeq and is a predicted model, not a curated record. NCBI's taxonomy places the organism in Eukaryota, Metazoa, Chordata, Actinopteri, Salmoniformes, Salmonidae.
AUCCCCACGGUUUAUAGGAUAAUCAGUUCACAGAAUCCCACUUUAUAGGAUAAUCAGUCACAGAAUCCCACGGUUAUAGGAUAAUCAGUCACAGAAUCCCACAGUUUAUAGGAUAAUCAGUCACAGAAUCCCAGUUUAUAGGAUAAUCAGUCACAGAAUCCCAGUUUAUAGGAUAAUCAGUCACAGAAUCCCAAAUCCAGGUUCUCAAGGACCCCCUAGUAUGCUGGUCUUAGUUCUGAAACUGUUUCAGUUAGUUAACUUACAAUUAUCUAUCAACUUAAUUUAAACAUACCUCAUCAAUUGAAUGUAGUUUCAUAAGUCCACUUUAAAUUUGAUAAAUAAGUUCCGUUUUGAAUUGUAUAGGAAAUCAGAAUAACCAGGGGCCCCUUGGGACCAGGAUAUGGAAAGAUGGGCUAAUACUGUAUAAUCUAGAUUGUAGACACUUCAUAGGCUAUUACAGAGUACGUUGCAGUCAGUUAUGGGUAUACUGUAUGUCUGUAAAGGUGUUUAGGUGCAGAAUGAAGAUAGAUAGGGAGGAUUGAUUGAUCGAUUGACACUUGGCUCAUUUAUCAGAUUGGAAAUCACGGUGUUUGAACAGGUUAUAUAUGUAUAUAACAUAAAAGCGGAAAACUAUCCACCUAAUAUAUCAUUUCAAAGAGGGACAAGCUUCAACUAUGGCAAGCCAAGAGGAACAAAUGACUAAGCCAGCAAAUGCAAUGUAACAACACUGAUCACCUCUUCUUAUGAAAAGUGUUGAAUUGAUUGUAGCCGUCGCCAUUUUGGUUCAAUGACAAUAAUGUUUUUUCUUAACAUGAAAUGUGUGGCUUCAUUCAACUUGUGUAAACCCAUCAACAAUUGUCCAUGGUUAAUGAGAUUUAUAUUGAUGGUCACGUUAACAAACAAUGUUGCACAUUAGUUUUUACCCCUUUUAAAUGCACCAGACUGUUACUAACACCCAGAGGAUGACGUCAUAGGCUGAGGUUAUAAACAGGGUGUAAUCAUAGAAAGAGAAUUUCUAGAAUUGACAUCUCCAUUCAAGUCAUGUUUAUUUCCCUUCUUGUAAUUAUACUUCUAUGGGUGUGAUGAUGUCAAUCAAAACACACUAGUCAUGAAGCUUCACAAUUAGGUUAUAAAGGUUCAUAAGAAGGUAAUAAACGUCAUACUGUGUUCAUGUUAUGAAUGGAUCGACGCAUGGCAUUCAAAAAAUGCAGUGUCUUAAAACAUUAUGAACAAUUUAGUGAUAUAGAAAUUUCAGAACCUCCAGAAGCUCUCUUAGGGACCAUGUAAAUGUUACAAUGAGCUAGUUUUGUAUUUAAAGUGGCCUCUUAUGAAGCAGUAUGCCUUAUGAACCUUCAUAGCACCCUUAUAAACAGCCAUAAAGGAUGAUGAAACUGUGUAAAAGAAAUAAGGCAUGAAAGGCUGUCAUAUAUUGAUGUCACAGCUAAGGGGGCCUCUUGUGCUUGCGUUAAUAUUCAGUUAUAUCAUGUUUUAUCACUGCAUCAUAAGGUGCUAUGAAUGUUUAUAUGGCAUUAUAAGACUUUGCAAGAGACCACUUCAGGUAGUUGUGUUACCAGCUUUUCCUUUGUUUGUUCAUCUGGAUGGUGAUUGUCCUCGUCGGUCUAUAAACCAGUCAAGUGUAGAGAAAAACAAAAAAACUUAAAGUGGAAGUUCAGUAUUUCACAACUUAACCAUGGAUUAGUUUCCCCACAGACUACUUUCAGGUUGAGGAACCAUCUAAAACACUCAGUAAAAUACUGAACUUCCCCUUUAAAAACAAAGAUCUUCUAUUUUUUCUCCCCCUUCCAACUUAGUUGACGUAUCCAUGGAAAUGACUAUUGAAUCAAGACUUCUAUUUUAUUUUAAGGACAAUUUUAAGCUACUACAACUAUUACUACUGCUAAAAUUGAGAUUCAUAGAGAACUAUACUUAAACGCUACCUGAUAAUUUAAUAAAUUCACAGAUAAAGUAAGACAAAGUAUAUUGUUAUUAAGGAAACCAAGAUACUGUAUAAGCAAUAUGUUAUUUUAGUCAAUAAAAUUGAACAAAAUCACAAUGAAAAAAAAAUGUAAAAGGUUUAAAAGCAUUGGAGAAUAUAUGUCGCUUCUUUAUUUUUUACUGCAUUUUAGAAAAUGUCAAUUUUUAAAAACAGUUAACAUACAAAA